CCUAGGGGCGGCUGCAGUGGGGAAUAUUGGACAAUGGGCGAAAGCCUGAUCCAGCCAUGCCGCGUGUGUGAAGAAGGCCUUCGGGUUGUAAAGCACUUUCAGUGGGGAAGAAAGCCUUGGGGCUAAUACCCUCGAGGAAGGACAUCACCCACAGAAGAAGCACCGGCUAACUCCGUGCCAGCAGCCGCGGUAAUACGGAGGGUGCGAGCGUUAAUCGGAAUUACUGGGCGUAAAGCGCGCGUAGGCGGUCUGAUAAGCCGGUUGUGAAAGCCCCGGGCUCAACCUGGGAACGGCAUCCGGAACUGUCAGGCUAGAGUGCAGGAGAGGAAGGUAGAAUUCCCGGUGUAGCGGUGAAAUGCGUAGAGAUCGGGAGGAAUACCAGUGGCGAAGGCGGCCUUCUGGACUGACACUGACGCUGAGGUGCGAAAGCGUGGGUAGCAAACAGGAUUAGAUACCCUAGUAGUC
Molecule: ribosomal RNA, 465 nt
Filed under: Vreelandella stevensii
Lineage: Bacteria; Pseudomonadati; Pseudomonadota; Gammaproteobacteria; Oceanospirillales; Halomonadaceae
Description: partial 16S ribosomal RNA
Rfam family: Bacterial small subunit ribosomal RNA
Source: RNAcentral